Molecule: unclassified non-coding RNA, 148 nt
Organism: Pongo abelii (Sumatran orangutan)
Lineage: Eukaryota; Metazoa; Chordata; Mammalia; Primates; Hominidae
Rfam family: Metazoan signal recognition particle RNA
About the family: The signal recognition particle (SRP) is a universally conserved ribonucleoprotein. It is involved in the co-translational targeting of proteins to membranes. The eukaryotic SRP consists of a 300-nucleotide 7S RNA and six proteins: SRPs 72, 68, 54, 19, 14, and 9.
Source: Ensembl
GCCAGGUAUGGUGGUGUGUGCCUGUAGUCCCAGCUACUUGGGAGGCUGAGGCAGGAGGAUUACUAGAGCCCAGGAGUUUGAGGCUGCAAUGGGCUGUGAUCACACCACUACACUCCAGCCUGGGUGACAGAGUGAGAUCCUGUCUCUA